RNAcentral lists this ribosomal RNA (106 nucleotides) under Erinaceus europaeus (western European hedgehog). The record is from RNAcentral. Lineage: Eukaryota; Metazoa; Chordata; Mammalia; Eulipotyphla; Erinaceidae.
GUCUACAGCCAUACCACCCUGAACACACCCGAUCUCAUCUGAUCUCGGAAGCUAAGCAGGGUCGGGCCUGGUUAGUACUUGGACGGGAGAAAAGUGUAUUUAAAUA